Molecule: ribosomal RNA, 370 nt
Filed under: uncultured organism
Description: partial 16S ribosomal RNA
Rfam family: Bacterial small subunit ribosomal RNA
Source: RNAcentral
AGAGGGUGCAAGCGUUAAUCGGAAUUACUGGGCGUAAAGCGCAUGUAGGCGGAUAUUUAAGUCGAUUGUGAAAUCCCCGGGCUCAACCUGGGAACUGCAGUCGAUACUGGAUGUCUAGAGUAUAGGAGAGGAAAGUGGAAUUCCCGGUGUAGCGGUGGAAUGCAUAGAUAUCGGGAGGAACAUCAGUGGCGAAGGCGACUUUCUGGCCUAAUACUGACGCUCAGAUGCGAAAGCGUGGGGUAGCAAACAGGAUUAGAUACCCUGGUAGUCCACGCCGUAAACGAUGAGGACUAGGUGCUGGGGGGCUUGACCCUUUAGUGCCGCAGCUAACGCAUUAAGUUCUCCGCCUGGUAGUACGGCCGCAAGGCUA